Molecule: non-coding RNA, 104 nt
Organism: Octopus bimaculoides (California two-spot octopus)
Lineage: Eukaryota; Metazoa; Mollusca; Cephalopoda; Octopoda; Octopodidae
Source: Rfam
GUGCCUUUGGCAGUACAUAAAUUAUAAUUAGAACAAUACAGAGAAGAUUAGCAUGGCCCCUGAACAAGGAGGACACAAAAAUUUCUGAAGUGUUCCAUAUUUUU